RNAcentral lists this small RNA (98 nucleotides) under Arabidopsis thaliana (thale cress). RNAcentral describes it as "ATSL258610". Lineage: Eukaryota; Viridiplantae; Streptophyta; Magnoliopsida; Brassicales; Brassicaceae. The record is from RNAcentral.
GAACAUAUUAUUUUAGUCGAGUGGUUAUGAGAGAGAUUACCAUCAUCAUCGAUUCAAAAUCGAUUAUCAUCUCCAAAAUUUUUUUUGAUUUUUUUUCU